This 466-nucleotide ribosomal RNA is filed under the name uncultured bacterium. RNAcentral describes it as "bacterial SSU rRNA". It matches the Rfam family "Bacterial small subunit ribosomal RNA", at positions 33 to 507 of the family's 1533-position model. The record is from RNAcentral.
GACGACGCUGGCGGCGUAGCUUAAAACAUGCAAAGUCGAACGGACUUCUCAUGAAGCUUGCGAUUGAGAAGUUAGUGGCGGACGGGUGAGUAACGCGUGGGCAACCUGCCCCUGAGCCCGGGAUAACAGUUCGAAAGGACUGCUAAGACCGGAUAUACUUGCGGGGAAGCAUUUCACUGCAAGGAAAGGGAACGCUCAGGGAUGGGCCCGCGUCCCAUUAGCUAGUUGGUGAGGUAACGGCCCACCAAGGCGACGAUGGGUAGCCGGCCUGAGAGGGUGAACGGCCACACUGGGACUGAGACACGGCCCAGACUCCUACGGGAGGCAGCAGUUGGGAAUCUUCGGCAAUGGGCGCAAGCCUGACCGAGCAACGCCGCGUGAGUGAUGAAGGUUUUCGGAUUGUAAAGCUCUGUCUUCCGGGACGAUAAUGACGGUACCGGAGGAGGAAGCCACGGCUAACUACGUG